GCAGAGUUACAAUUCACAAAUGACUGUCACUCCGAAUUGUGGAUACAUUUUAGAGUCUUGUUUGGUUUAGCUCCAUAAAAUGAAACAUCACAGUACAGAUAAUCAAAUAUCAGCUAUAUAAUCCUUUCUAGGUCCUGGCCUCCCGAGGCUUGCAGCUGGAGAGCCAGGUUGUAAUGGAGGGACAGGAUCUGCAGGACCUUGUGGCACAAGUACAGAGAACGUCUCCUCUGCAGCAUCUCAGUACUUCAGUCAUGCAGGAUAGGAUCUCGGAGGCAGUCUCUCACUGCCAGGAGAUUCUUGGGAGGUUUGGUUCCCUUGGGUUUCUGCGACCCGCUGAAACAACCGAUCAGAUGCAGACGCAGCCACAGUCUGGGUUUUUGGUUGUGGCCAGAACCAAACAUGUUGACCAGGUUGGAAAUGUGAUGCUGCAAACUCAAGACCCGAAUCAGGUUUCAGCUGAGAGCCCAUCUCAGACACCUCAACAAAGAACAAGAGGUCUCCAGGGUUGGCCUGAAAAACAGCACAUGAACACACAGGAGGAACCAUCCAUUGUUACACCACAUGUUCAAAUCCAGAUGCUGCCUCAGCAUUUGGGGGCAUCAGGAUGUCAUAUUCACUCUCCUCUUGCUCAAACUGUAAAAGAAGCAGCGCAAAUGAUCCAGCCACAGUCACUUUCUAGAUCACACACUCAAGUUUCAAGCCUGAGUCAAAAUGAUCAACUUCUACCUGCUUUAACCCAAGCUCUUGCUGGAUCAACUGGUCCAAAAAGUCCAGUUCCUGAGGAAAAGGAGAGCUCAUCCUCACCACAAAUCCACACGUCAAAAUCCAGAAUAAGAGGGCAACCGAAAACCCUACAAAGUAAAAAUACAUCUCCACAGCCACCGGUUAUGGUCCGCAGUGAGGUCCAUUCAAAAGCCCAGUCGAUGGCGAGGAGCAGACUGGAGAAGGCUCGGUUUCGUCUGCAAGGACGCAUCCAGCAAGCCAUCAAGUUAUUUGGUGGCAAACAGAUUUCAGAGUCACAAGCCAAAAGGAAACAGGUACAGAUUUAAACAUUUUGGAUAUAGUAUUAUUUAUUCAUCAUGAGAAAAGUUUCUCAUCAACAAAAGUAAAUGAAUGAAUAGUGAUUUACCCUAAAAAGGAAUUUUGCACUUGUGAAUAAGUGUUAAUCAAAUUGUCUAUAAAGUUGGCUUUGCACCCAC
This 1199-nucleotide long non-coding RNA is filed under the name Sparus aurata (gilthead seabream). RNAcentral's name for it is "lncRNA (ENSSAUG00010012066.1)". The record is from RNAcentral. Lineage: Eukaryota; Metazoa; Chordata; Actinopteri; Spariformes; Sparidae.